Molecule: long non-coding RNA, 1027 nt
Organism: Triticum aestivum (bread wheat)
Lineage: Eukaryota; Viridiplantae; Streptophyta; Magnoliopsida; Poales; Poaceae
Exons: 3
Source: RefSeq, a predicted model, not a curated record
UGUAGACGAUCGAUAGCGUUACAGAAGAGAGGCAGGGGCUACCUAGCUAGGGAUUGCACGCUCUCGAUCUUUUGAUCAUCACCAAUGGGGUCUGCACUGUUGUCGAUGGUGCGGAUGAUGAAGCCGAAGAAGGACGGCGCGCCGCCCGCUUUCGUGCACGACCUGCCGCACCACGGGACGACGGCGGCUCCUUGCCGCCAGCGCACUGAAGAGGAGCGCGACGCGUCCAUCAUCUGCCAUGUCCACCACGCCCUCCGCCACUACAACGCCACCAACCCGGGCUCGGAGUUCGUCCCCGUCAAGCCUCUCAUGGCCGCGUACGUGGGCUUCCAAAGCCACAUCUAGGUCCACGUCAGCUUCAUUGCUCGCAGGAAGAAGAUCGCCAGCAGCAAACGGAGGCGCAACCAGGCCAACGACGCGGACAAGACCUUCUUCGCCGAGCUGCGCUACAGCCACCACCACUCAGGCGCGCCGGCCGUUGAAACAUGCGCCAUCAUCGAGAAAUCGUCGCGCAAAAGUCACUUGAAGACCGCGUGUGCAUUUUGCCCCGAGAGCUUUCAGAUUUUGCACCCACUUGACGGGAGCUUCAUGUGCGGAAAGAAGUGCCAGGCAAACGAAGGCCAGGGUUUCAUAUAUUUCACGAACCUGCUUGAGUUACUGUUCACAUGCCCCACGGCCAGUGGACCCGGCAAGGAGGAUGCAGCAGCGCCAAAGAAGGAGGAGGAGGAGCAUAGUAGCGUCCUGAGCUGGGCCGCCCUCCCCUUUCAUUUUCUCGGUAAUCUUAUUACAAGGGUUUUACCGGCCUUUGAUGAUAAGCAUAUGGACUAGAUCAGGGGCAAAGCUAGCGAGAAGUUAAUGCAAUGGGUUCAAUUAAAACACAAUGAAGAGUGAUGUAUGGUAAUAGCAAGGCCACGUAUCAGACUGACAGAUUUUGAAGUUGAUGUAUGAGAUUAAACUUGCGACAACCUUUUAUAAGUAAAAUACAUAGAACCACCACUUUCGCGCGUCAUAGCUCUCGAAAAACCAU